Molecule: long non-coding RNA, 3550 nt
Filed under: Homo sapiens (human)
Lineage: Eukaryota; Metazoa; Chordata; Mammalia; Primates; Hominidae
Description: HSALNT0381060
Source: RNAcentral
UUUUUGUUUGUUUGUAGGGGUAAGAGGACUUCUUGUUUUACAAUGGCUUCCCUAAGAGAUACCUGGGCUUGUCAGCAAAGCAGCUAAUAAAACACUGGCCUAUUCUUUUUAUCUGAUUAUCACUUGAGAGGGGCUGGGAAGUAUCUUUUGAGGGAAAAGGUCUCUGGCACUGUAGGAUUUGGGUGUGAGCCACCACGCCCAGCCUAUUUGCAGUUUUUAAGAUGGAGAAAAAGGAAUCCUACACAAUGAAUUGGGUUUUCUUUGAUAAAUUAUCACUAAGCUGAGGGUUCUACAUUUGAUUGGUAAUGUGCCCAGAGUUGAUAUUUUAUUCUGCAUGUACUAAUUUUUUUCUGGUUUUUGGAGGUGUUCUCUAACCAAAACUGAACACUUUCUGGUAGCUAAAAACUGGUGUCUCUUUCCAGCUUCAUAUUUUUAUAAGGCUGAUAAUGCUGUCCACUGAACAGGACUAUUUCUUGGUAGGACAUAGAGAUGGUCACUGUUCUCAUUGUAGUUCCCGUGCAAGAAAAUGGAGACAUCAUGGGAUAGGGUGUUGUCAUUGUAGGUUUAAGAAUUGUCAUUCUGGCCGGGCGUGGUGGCUCAUGCCUGUAAUCCCAGCACUUUGGGAGGCUGAGGCUGGUAGAUCACCUGAGGUCAGGAGUUUGAGACUAACCUUGCCAACAUGGUAAAACCUCAUCUCUAUUAAAAAAAAAAAAAAAAAACACAAAAAUCAGCUGGGCAUGGUGGCACGCACCUGUAAUCCCAGCUACUCGGGAGGCUGAGGCAGGACAAUCACUUGAAUCUGGGAGGUGGAGGCUGUGGUGAGCCGAGAUCACGCCACUGUACCCCAGCCUGGUGACAAAGCGAGACUCUGUCUCAAAAAAAAAAAUAAAAUAGGCCGGGUGCGGUGGCUCACACCUGUAACCCCAGCACUUUGGGAGGCCGAGGCAGGCGGAUCACGUCAGGAGAUCAAGAGCAUCCUGGCUAACACAGUGAAACCCCGUCUCUACUAAAAAUACAAAAAAUUAGCUGGGCAUGGUGGCGGGCGCCUGUAGUCCCAGCUACUCGGGAGGCUGAGGCAGGAAAAUGGUGUGAACCCGGGAGGCGCAGGUUGCAGUGAGCCGAGAUCGCGUCACUGCACUCCAACCUGGGUGACAGAGUGAGACUCCAUCUCAAAAAAAAAAAAAAAUAAUAGUAAUUGUCAUUUCAUGUUUAUUUGUCUGUUCUCCCUGAUUACUGGGGGUGUGUUAAUGGAAGGGCAUGUUAUCCUCCCCCAUUUGUUUAGACUGAGGAAGGAUAGUAGGGAGCAUUGUGAGCUAUAAAGACAGUUUCUCUUUGGUUGAGCAAUGGUGUGUUGGUGAUUACAGGUCGUCAUUAUAAAUAAAAUGAAUUUUGUUUUCAAGAGACAGGGUCUAGCUGUGUUGCCCAAGCUGGUCUCGAAUUCCUGGGCUUAAGUGAUCCACCCACCUAGGCCUCCCAAAAUGCUGGGAUUACAGGCAUGUGCCACUGUGCCCGGCCACCUUACGUUUAAAGAGGAGAAAUUCAUGGUCCUUUCAAAGUUACUGAAGUUUAACAAUGAACAAAUUGGAUUUCUCAUAACACUUUUGGAAUGUACAUUUUGGGAUAUAUAGAUAUAUAUGGAAUGUACAUAUUUAGCUUUAACUUUUCAAAAUGCUUAAAAAUUCAAGUUUAAUGGUAUGCCCUUUUUUUUUUAAGUGGAAAUUGAUGACUUGAAAAAAAUUACCAAUUCACUGACUGUGCUUUGCAGUGAAAAACAGAAGCAAGAAAAGGUAAGAGCAAGCUGUGUAGGGAAAUGGGUAUUAAAUUAGAGUGGGGUUAUAGGUCUAACAGUCAACAAAUAUAAUAGGAGCCUGUCCUAAUUAAAAGUCAAGCAACUCACUAAUACCAUUUAAGUUAGACUAGAAGAGGAGUAUGGGUGCUAUUACUGUCCUUUUGUUUCCAGACAUGUUCCCCUUUUCUGAGUUAAUAGAAAUUGCUGAAAUCACAGACUGGGUUCAAAUACUAGCACUGCUACUUAAUAGGUAUAGGUAAAUCAGCUUUUCUAAGCUUCAGUCUUCUCCCUUCUAAAAUAGGAACAAUAAUACUCACUUUGCAGAGUAUUUAUAAGAGUAAAGUAAGAGAAGUAUGUCAAGUAAAGGUUAGAGCUUUGUGAUUUUAAAUUGGGGGGUACUUAUCCACACUUUUCUAAAUUUGCUUCAGUGAAGUUAAGGCUGUCUACCAAUAACUUAUAACCCCUGCUGGUGGGCUAGGUAUCCAGAGCAGGACCAAGGACCCAGAUCAAGUUUUGGAGAGACUGACUCUGGGAGACCUGUUCAGGUCCAAAACAUGUAGGCUCGGAUGUCCCUUACAGAACUAGUGUUUCUGGGACCAAAGGUUUUUGUGUGUUUGUUUAUGAGGGUUGCUGUACCAGAUAAGAUGCCCAUAGCACACUAAGGUUCAUGAAUUAACUCUCUUUCAUCUUUAGCAAAGCAAAGCCAAAAAGAAGAAGAAAGGUGUGGUUCCUGGAGGGGGAUUAAAAGCCACCAUGAAAGAUGAUCUGGCAGAUUAUGGUGGUUAUGAUGGAGGAUAUGUACAAGACUAUGAAGACUUCAUGUGACAUUUUAUCUUUUCUUGGUGUCAUCUUUAUGUUGCCCACAAUCCCUUGAACAUGUAGCACAACUUCCUUUCCUUUCAGUUCUGCCAAAUGCUACAAUCAGAAGUGCAGUAUCUUUUGUGCUGGUUAUUUAACCCCUUGACACUUAGGUGCUAAUGUGCAAAUGAGGGAACUUGGAUCUUGCUGCCAAGGGGUUAAAAUUGGGAACCUAAGUUGCUACUAAAUCAUAGUUCAAAACCUAAUAAUGUUGUCGUUGUUGCUAUCUGAUUUCAUAGCAGCAGUCACUAAAUUGGAAACAAAAGGUUGCAACGUGACAAAAAAAAUUGUGUAGUAUUUACCAGCACCAUUCAGUAAUACAGCCUUAACCAUACCUCCUUGAACUACUUCAUAACUUGUCAAGAAAAGCAGUUUGCAGCAAGGGCAUGUGGUGUGCACCUAGUAUUAAAAUUGCUUUGUCUUAAAAUUGAACAUGAGGAUAUUAAAAAUACAUUGUGAAGAAGACUGCUUAUCUCAGAGUGAAGAUACUGCGGCUGAAAAGCACUAGUUUGAUAUAAAAUUAAAAUGACCAAAACCCUCCAACUUUGAAGCUAAAGAAGGUAAACCUUUCCAUUAUUGCAUUACAUGUUGUGGAAUCUCUCGAGUGCAAAGACUGUCUAGUUAUUUAUCAGGCUAUUUCUACUGAUGAACUGCUUCAGGUGGGGGAGGGAAACUUAUUUUUAUUUGCCUGAUUUAAGUGUCUGAGAAACAAAUCUUUGUUCUCUUAGGCUGCAAUGGAACAACUUUACCAGGGUUUUGGCAUUUCCUUUCCUUUCCUUUAUAAAACAUGCUCAGCAAACUGCACCAGUUAACUACAGUUUGGUAAAUUGUUAUGUUAACAAUUAUGACAUCUGCAAUGUUUUAUAAAGCAACUAAUUUAAUAAAAUCACUGUUGUGAGGACU